CGCGCAGGCGGCCAUUUAAGUUGGAUGUGAAAGCCUACGGCUCAACCGUAGAACUACAUCCAAAACUAUUUGGCUAGAGUGUGGGAGAGGAAGAUGGAAUUAGUUGUGUAGGGGUAAAAUCCGUAGAGAUAACUAGGAAUACCAAAAGCGAAGGCAAUCUUCUGGAACACUACUGACGCUGAGGCGCGAAAGCGUGGGGAGCAAACAGGAUUAGAUACCCUGGUAGUCC
Molecule: ribosomal RNA, 229 nt
Filed under: uncultured bacterium
Lineage: Bacteria
Description: partial 16S ribosomal RNA
Rfam family: Bacterial small subunit ribosomal RNA
Source: RNAcentral